Molecule: long non-coding RNA, 230 nt
Filed under: Coffea arabica (coffee)
Lineage: Eukaryota; Viridiplantae; Streptophyta; Magnoliopsida; Gentianales; Rubiaceae
Description: long non-coding RNA (CARA_LNC002565)
Source: RNAcentral
AAAAAGUAUGUUGACCCAAUAGUAAAAGCUAAGCAAGAAAGUCUACUACUAAUUUUGCCUCUCUAUAAACAUGUCAAAUUUGCCCGAAAAUCUAAAACAGCAAAUGCACAAUCCAAUUCUGCACAUUACAAAUCGGCCAACUAGAAGACAUUUUAAAUAAAAUUGGAUGGGUCAAGACUUGUGAAUACACCUCAACCUCAAUCUCUCUGAUUCCAUGUUGUUGAUAUAGU